This 887-nucleotide long non-coding RNA is filed under the name Homo sapiens (human). RNAcentral describes it as "HSALNT0072281". The record is from RNAcentral. Lineage: Eukaryota; Metazoa; Chordata; Mammalia; Primates; Hominidae.
AGGUCUAAGCUACCUCUUUGCACCUGGGAACUCUGUGCCUUUUGAGAGUUGAAGGCUUAAAACAACAACAACCACCACAACAAAACUAUUCACCUUUUUAUCCAAUAGAAACUAAGGUGGGAAAACCAAGACAUAGUGAAUCUGAGAAACUGCCUAAGGACAAGCUCAUCGGCAAGCGGCAGAGCAGUUUUUAAUCAAGGCCCACUUUUUAACCACUGGAAAGAAAAGAGGGAAGGUUCUGAUUUCAUGCUCACUGGGACACUUCCUGGACACAUUCAGCUUCUUACCCAUUAUUCAGAAGGAGAAGUAGAAACCUGUAGAAGUAGCCCUGGGGAGGGUAGUUUCUGAUAAAGGAUGUCUCCAUUUGGAAAUUAAUCUGUAAAGGAUGAUGCCCGGCAUCUGCUCAGCUUCUGAUGAGGCCUCAGGAAGCUUCCAAUCAUGGCAGAAGGCAAAGGGGAACCCAUGUAUCACAUAGCAAGAGCAGGAGCAAGAGAGGCGCGGGGAGAGGUUUUAAACCACGUCUUGCAAGAACUCACUAUUGCGAGGACAGUACCUUGGGGAUGGUGCUAAAUCAUUCAUGAGAAAUCUGCCCCCAUGAUCUAAUCACCUCCCACCAGGCCCCAACUCCGACACUGGAGAUUACAUUUCAACAUGAGAUUUGGGUGGGGACAAAUAUCCAGACUAUAUCGGGGCUGUACCAGCAAUUGACUCCUGACAUCUGUUCUGACUGGUCAGAGUCUGUUCUGAUAGGUUGGUGCCUCUACUGAUUAUUAAAUAUUUUAUGCUAUACCAAUUAUUAAAUAUUUUGAAAACCACCUACUGUUACAUGGGCUAUCAUAUUGCCUAGAAUAUUUGGUGAUGGUUUCAUAAAUGGAAAGCAAUUGAUU